AAGUCGUAACAAGGUUUCCGUAGGUGAACCUGCGGAAGGAUCAUUAACGAGUCUUGACUGGGUUGUAGCUGGCCUUCCGAGGCAUGUGCACGCCCUGCUCAAUCCACUCUACACCUGUGCACUUAUUGUGGGUUUCGGAUGGUGGAACGAGCCUUUACCGGCUUGUGAAGCGUCCGGGCUUACGUUUAUUUACAAACCACACAAGUAUAAGAAUGUAUUGCGAUAUAACGCAUCUAUAAACAACUUUCAGCAACGGAUCUCUUGGCUCUC
This 270-nucleotide unclassified non-coding RNA is filed under the name air metagenome. RNAcentral describes it as "partial contains small subunit ribosomal RNA, internal transcribed spacer 1, and 5.8S ribosomal RNA". The stretch from base 1 to 46 matches the Rfam family "Eukaryotic small subunit ribosomal RNA", at positions 1786 to 1831 of the family's 1831-position model. The record is from RNAcentral.